RNAcentral lists this ribosomal RNA (203 nucleotides) under Eimeria ellipsoidalis. RNAcentral describes it as "partial 28S rRNA". It matches the Rfam family "Eukaryotic large subunit ribosomal RNA", at positions 1 to 196 of the family's 3401-position model. Lineage: Eukaryota; Apicomplexa; Conoidasida; Eucoccidiorida; Eimeriidae. The record is from RNAcentral.
CUAGACCUGAAAUCAGUCGAGGACACCCGCUGAAUUUAAGCAUAUUAUUAAGCGGAGGAAAAGAAAAUAACUAUGAUUCCCUUAGUAACGGCGAGUGAAGAGGGAGGUGCUCAAAGUGAAAAUCGUGGUACCUCUUAUGGUACCGCGAGUUGUAGCCUCUAGAGGCGUUACCAGUGGAGGGGCAGGUCUAAGUUUCUUGGAAC